CCUACGGGUGGCAGCAGUGAGGAAUAUUGGUCAAUGGACGCAAGUCUGAACCAGCCACGCCGCGUGCAGGAUGACGGCUCUAUGAGCUGUAAACUGCUUUUGUACGAGGGUAAACGCAGAUACGCGUAUCUGUCUGAAAGUACCGUACGAAUAAGGAUCGGCUAACUCCGUGCCAGCCGCCGCGGUAAUACGGAGGAUACAAGCGUUAUCCGGAUUUAUGGGGUUUAAAGGGUGCGUAGGCGGUCGGAUAAGUUAGAGGUGAAAUUCCGAGGCUCAACCGCGGAAGUGCCUCUGAUACUGUGCGGCUUGAGUGUAGAUGAGGUAAGCGGAAUGUAUGGUGUAGCGGUGAAAUGCUUAGAGAUCAGGAAGAACACCGAUUGCGAAGGCAGCUUACCGGGCU
Molecule: ribosomal RNA, 400 nt
Filed under: uncultured bacterium
Lineage: Bacteria
Description: partial 16S ribosomal RNA
Rfam family: Bacterial small subunit ribosomal RNA
Source: RNAcentral